AUAAACAAAGGUUAGUCAAUACAACAAAUAAACCAUAAAAGAGGGAAAUAAAGGAAUAAACAAAUUUGAACUCUUAUCCAAACUUCAAGCCAUUGGGCUGUCAAGCCCAGAUUUCCUUUUCCUAUCCAAACUCCAAAAAAUAUAGUAUACAUUAGAUGUAUACAGGCUGUAUCUCGGCCCAUUUUGUGUAUAUUGGGUUGUAUACCAAACGUAUAGUGCCUACUAUAAACUCCGGCACCUGUAUCCUGCACCUCAGACCUGUAUUUCAAAAUUUAGACCUGUAUAUCAGCUGUAUACUGUUGACAGCCUAUUUUUAAACUAUUUGAGGCCCGUCUAAGCUUCAUUUAACAUGUAUUUCAGCUUCCAACUUCCCAAAGAUAGUCAAGGCUUGACUCGAAGAAAUUAAACUCAAAAAAAUGCAAGGAUGGAGUCCAAAGUGGACUCGAAUUGAUGUCACAUGCGAUAAAAGAAAAAUAAUAAUAAUAAGGAUUAGCAUAACACCCCAAAAAAUAAACAAAGAAGAGUAAAGAGACACAUUGGUUCAAAUUGCCUAUCGACAAGAAACGAAGGAUAACAAUUCGGAAAGUAAAUAAUUUAAAAGAGAUAAUUGAAAGGGAACCGUGAUCAUUCAUAUUAUAACAAUCAACAUCAACAACUGGCAACAUGUGAAAAGUAAAGCAUAUUUACUUAUUGAUUUUUAUUUUUUUUAGUAAAAAUAUAAGGACUACAUAGAUAGUAAUAAACAAACAAACAAAUUCAGAGCACUUACUCAUAAUCUCAAACAUGAUUAAUGCUACACAAAUUGAAGCUGUACAACUUUAAAUGCUAGAAAUCAUCUACCGUUACACAAUAAUGAAACUAUCAACAAUCUUGAAGUAAAAUACUUAACAGAGAAAGCCAAGGAGGUCAAUCUUACACUUCGACUAUUGAGCUCGUUUAAUCACAUCAAACAAAUAGUUGAUACUUAUCAGGAAGAUAAAAUUCAUUUAACAUAAUCAAAUAGAAUGUAGAUGCUUAAUACACUCACAUAGUCAGGAAACAAUGUUUUUCAUGGAAAGGGUGAGAGGUUUUAGCAUCGAGGUUGUGGAUUAUGGAAACAAGCGAGUUAUAAUGACACCACACCUUGAAACCAAAAGAAACAAAACAAUAACAAGACAUGGAUAACACUCAAGUAUGUAAAAGCAGAGAAUAUAUUUAACUAUAGCACGAGAUUGAGCUAAUAUAAAUUAGAGUCUAUCAUAGUGAAUAAAAACGAUAGAGAGGAUACCCAAUCGAACUUAUACAGAUAGCAUAUUCAAAGUCGAAACCAAUUGAACAGUACAUCAUUUUGAUACCCUGUUGAACCAGCGAAUCUAACGACUAACAUCUUAAUACCAAAGAAGCUUUAUCAAAACUUGAGUCACGUGCCUAGAAAUUCAUAAAAACAACAGUAAAGAAAACAGCAAGACGAGGAACCAAACGCACUUAAUAGUAGGACUUGUAGUAAAGCUCGGACAUACAACACAUUAUACCGAAAUAAAAUGUAAGAAGAGGCAAAAUUACUUUCUUUGGAGCAGCGUUCCGGGACAGAUACAAGCUGGAUUUUGAAUUUUCCACCACACAGAUUCAAAGCUCGAACAACACACCAAGAGAAUCCAAAUGAAACCCGAAUAAUAAACUUUCUGAAACUCUUAAACUAGAGAGUCUUCCAAGAAAUUUUCAAAAUGUAAAAUUGACUAUUCCCAGAUCUUUGUAAGCUAUAUUUCGUGAGUAAAUUCUGGCCAACUCUAUAUCUCUUCUAAAUUUUUCUCCCAACUUUUUUCUCUCCCUCAACAAAGAAGAAGAGGGGGUUUAUAUAGGGGAAUUCUAAGGUUUGGAAUAGGGGGGAAAACGGGUGAAGAAUUGGGUCAAAUUCGAAAUCUCUUGAGGAUAAGGCUGCUAACUCGAAUUGUUACAAAUCUCCAAUGGAUUAAUGAUCUAGGCGCUUAAUUUUUUAGAGGAGUACGAACGAGAUGCGAGAUUGCUCCAUCUGGACUGAUUCGAGAAUAUUCUCUGACGAAGGGGAUAAGGAAGAGAGGAGAGAGCUCACGCGAUGGACUCGGGUUCGCGUUGCUAGGCUGCUCGCGAUUCUGGACUGGUUUUGCUACUGGAUUUGCAGCGUACUGGUCUGGGUUCAAUUUUUCUGGGUUUGUUCGCGAUUCUACUCGCUGAGGAAGAAGAGAUCGCGUAUGGGAGUGGGUCGGGUUCGCUUUUGGUGUACGUAUGUUGCUGCUGGAAUGUGUAUGGGAUGAUUUUGGUAUGUUGUAUUGUAUUGUUUUGAGAAUAAGGGAAUUAGGAAAG
This 2319-nucleotide long non-coding RNA is filed under the name Solanum tuberosum (potato). RNAcentral describes it as "long non-coding RNA (STUB_LNC007923)". The record is from RNAcentral. Lineage: Eukaryota; Viridiplantae; Streptophyta; Magnoliopsida; Solanales; Solanaceae.